Lemur catta (Ring-tailed lemur) is the source of this 101-nucleotide long non-coding RNA. RefSeq lists it as uncharacterized. The transcript is spliced from 3 exons. Lineage: Eukaryota; Metazoa; Chordata; Mammalia; Primates; Lemuridae. The record is from RefSeq and is a predicted model, not a curated record.
GCCGGUGCUCGGGCGUCCGGCUACGGAAACCGAAAAAUACAGGGCGCUAAAAAUCGCCGUUCACACCAGCACCUGGAGAGAUGCACAGACAGUCACAGAAG